Molecule: small nuclear RNA, 217 nt
Gene: U2
Rfam family: U2 spliceosomal RNA
About the family: U2 is a small nuclear RNA (snRNA) component of the spliceosome (involved in pre-mRNA splicing).
Source: Ensembl
AUCGCUUCUCGGCCUUUUGGCUAAGAUCAAGUGUAGUAUCUGAACUAACUAGAACUAGUUACCGUCCUCUCUGGGGCAAGACUAACUGUAAAGAAAAGCAGGCAAUUGUCUACACAUUUAAAUCAUUGUUCUCUCUUUCUUUCUCUUCUCUUUGACCACCUAGGUAUGAAAAUUACAUAUGAUGCAAUUUUACUAUUUGCAGAAAGUGAUAGUCACU